This 274-nucleotide non-coding RNA is filed under the name Desulfobacter sp. RNAcentral's name for it is "Desulfitibacter sp. T-box sequence". It matches the Rfam family "T-box leader". From Rfam's summary of the family: Uncharged tRNA acts as the effector for transcription antitermination of genes in the T-box leader family. T-boxes are found upstream of many aminoacyl-tRNA synthetase genes and some amino acid biosynthetic genes usually in Gram-positive bacteria. The anticodon of a specific tRNA base pairs to a specifier sequence within the T-box motif, and the NCCA acceptor tail of the tRNA base pairs to a conserved bulge in the T-box antiterminator hairpin. Lineage: Bacteria; Pseudomonadati; Thermodesulfobacteriota; Desulfobacteria; Desulfobacterales; Desulfobacteraceae. The record is from RNAcentral.
ACAAAAGCAAUGCGUGGGAAUAGUAGGCAUUUUGCAGGCACUCCAGAGAGCCGGAGGUAGUGGAAUUUCGGCGUGUACCGGAUAUGGUGAAUGGACCCACAAGCUGUAGGUCGAAAUUGCGCAUAUGCAAGAGUAGCAGCCUACCGGAAACCUUUACCGUUAAAAAAAGGCAGGUAUCGGACUUGAUGAAUACCCAUAGUCCCGUACUUGAAAGAGUGGGCUUUUAUUAGCCAAUGAGGGUGGUACCGCGUGACGUAAGCUUUUCGUCCCUAUU